Molecule: unclassified non-coding RNA, 401 nt
Filed under: soil metagenome
Description: partial contains 5.8S ribosomal RNA, internal transcribed spacer 2, and large subunit ribosomal RNA
Rfam family: 5.8S ribosomal RNA (bases 1-121)
Source: RNAcentral
GAUGAAGAACGUAGCGAAAUGCGAUAAGUAAUGUGAAUUGCAGAAUUCAGUGAAUCAUCGAAUCUUUGAACGCACCUUGCGCCUCUUGGUUAUUCCAAAGGGCAUGCCUGUUUGAGUAUCAUGAACACCUCAACUCUUGUGGUUUCCCACAAUGAGCUUGGACUGUGGAGGUUUUGUUGGCCCUGUGGUCAGCUCCUCUCAAAUGGAUCAGCUUACCGGUGUUUGGUGGCAUUACGGGUGUGAUAACUAUCUACGCUCGUGGUCGUCUCCAAAUAACCUCCAGUGAUGGAGGUUCGCUGGAGCUUAUAAAUGUCUCUCCCCAGUGAAGACAGCCUUUGAACGUUCGAUCUCAAAUCAGGUAGGACUACCCGCUGAACUUAAGCAUAUCAAUAAGCGGAGGA